This 498-nucleotide ribosomal RNA is filed under the name uncultured bacterium. Its description in RNAcentral is "partial 16S ribosomal RNA". It matches the Rfam family "Bacterial small subunit ribosomal RNA", at positions 29 to 507 of the family's 1533-position model. The record is from RNAcentral.
AGCGAACGCUGGCGGCGUGCCUAACACAUGCAAGUCGAACGUGAAAAGGGAAACCUGAGUAAAGUGGCGUACGGGUGAGUAACGCGUAGGUAAUCUACCCCAGAAUCUGGAAUAACCUGCCGAAAGGCGGGCUAAUACUGGAUAGAGCGAGGGAACUCGUAAGAGAGUUUUUCGGGAAAGGGAGCCCGCAAGGGCCUUCGUUCUGGGAUGAGCCUGCGUCUCAUUAGCUAGUUGGUAAGGUAACGGCUUACCAAGGCGAUGAUGAGUAGCUGGUCUGAGAGGAUGAUCAGCCACACUGGAACGGAAACACGGUCCAGACUCCUACGGGAGGCAGCAGUGGGGAAUCUUGCGCAAUGGAUGAAAGUCUGACGCAGCCACGCCGCGUGAGUGAAGAAGGCCGUCGGGUUGUAAAGCUCUGUCGGAUGGGACGAACAUCUUCAUAGUGAAUAGCUAUGAGGACUGACGGUACCAGCAAAGGAAGCACCGGCUAACUCCGUG